RNAcentral lists this transfer RNA (93 nucleotides) under Achromobacter sp. 2789STDY5608615. Its description in RNAcentral is "tRNA-???(tcct)". Lineage: Bacteria; Pseudomonadati; Pseudomonadota; Betaproteobacteria; Burkholderiales; Alcaligenaceae. The record is from RNAcentral. RNAcentral also lists the same sequence under 2 other names.
UGGGCCUGUUGGCGAUGGCGCUGGCUGGCCGCUUCCUGCCCGCCGAUCGGCCGCGGGCGGCGGCCGGCGCGCGGUUCGAUGCCGCGGGCACGC